Molecule: small RNA, 356 nt
Filed under: Pan troglodytes (chimpanzee)
Lineage: Eukaryota; Metazoa; Chordata; Mammalia; Primates; Hominidae
Description: retained intron
Source: RNAcentral
UCUUCCAGUUCGUCAACUUCUACUCCUCACCCGUCUACAUUGCCUUCUUCAAGGGCAGGUUUGUGGGAUACCCAGGCAACUACCACACCUUGUUUGGAGUCCGCAAUGAGGAGGUGAGUGUGCCUGAGGCCCGGGACUGGGGGAUGAGCUGUGUGCUUCCUCUCGCUUCCAUUCGAGCUUUGAUUUGCAGCAAUUCCUCCCGCCACCGGCUACUUCCAUCGCCCAGCCAGGGCCAGCUGUGCAGCUGACCACUCAGGGCUCCCAGCCUCUCUUCACCACUUAUUCUGACCCCCGAUAUGCCCCAUUCAGAACCACACCCAAAACACUCCAGGCCGGGCACAGCGGCUCACGCCUGU